UAACUUACCUGGCAGGGGAACACCAUGAUCAAGAAGGCGGUUCACCAGGGCGAGGCUUUGUCAUUGCACUCCGCCAUGCUGACCCCUGCGAAUUCCCCAAAUGCGGGAAUUCUCGACUGCAUAAUUUAUGGUAGUGGGGGACUGCGUCGCGCUCUCCCUGA
RNAcentral lists this small nuclear RNA (161 nucleotides) under Carassius auratus (goldfish). RNAcentral's name for it is "U1 spliceosomal RNA (ENSCARG00000047669.1)". It matches the Rfam family "U1 spliceosomal RNA". Rfam says of the family: U1 is a small nuclear RNA (snRNA) component of the spliceosome (involved in pre-mRNA splicing). Its 5' end forms complementary base pairs with the 5' splice junction, thus defining the 5' donor site of an intron. The record is from Rfam by way of RNAcentral. Lineage: Eukaryota; Metazoa; Chordata; Actinopteri; Cypriniformes; Cyprinidae.